CUUAGCUGAGUCAACACCCACACAGUCUCCUUUUAUUACACCACCUUUUAUUCCAUUCAACCUUGCUCUCAAGAAUGCUGGCUUCUCCUCCACCUUUAACGUGUUUCUUUCCCUGCACCCGACAUGGCUGGAUGUUUGUCAAGGAACCCACCAUAAAUCCCAGAGUAGACUGCUUGUUGCAUGUGUGUGUGCGUGUGUGUGUGUGUACACACUAAGUAGGGAAGGAGAAGGGGAAUGGGAGAACAGGAGAAAGUUCAUAAAAACAGCUGCCAACAUUUCUAAAACAGUUGCUUCUUUAUGUUUAUCUCCUUCCCCUGACGUUCAGCUCAAAGGACAAUACCAUUACCACCAGGGCCAGCUGCUGUCUACUGUGAGUCUCCAGGAGUCAGGUGCCGUGCUAGUGCUGUAUGAACACGACCUCUGAGCGUUACACUGGCUCUGCAAGGAGACGCAUGCUGAAGGAUUCAUGGGCAAAGUGUUGUAACGUCUGCAACUUACAUUCAAAUAAUUCAAGAAAAAGUGUCUCCGAGAGAGAUGAGAGAGACCAUGAAACUGUGCAGAAACCACAACCUAGGCUCUGAGGCCUUCCUGGGAAGUCAGCAAUUCCCUCUGCAGGACAGGAAACUAGGGCUGCUGCGUGAGGUCAUGGUGUGAGAUCACGGUGAAGUCUCGGUCUGGAACUGACAUGUGAGGAACCGAGAAAGGGAGAACUGGGCCCUGGACUUUCCAGGCGGCUGCUCCGCCCUGGUUAUGCUAAUGCAUCCAGAGAAAGCGCCUCGACCUCCUGCAACAAGACGGUCUAGAAGAGGGUUCUCUCGUGACCUUAAACUUCUAAUUUCUGGCCCAAAUCCUCAGGACAUUCAACUGUACACUCCUAGGAGCUUGCUUUGCAAAGAGAGGACUCAGAAACUAACAAGUACUAGCUCUAACCUCAAGCCCAGAGAAUGUCUGACACAAAAAGUCAUUUACUCCACCCAACACAACGAGCCAGUUUCCCAGGUCACAAGGAGCCCUUUGCUCAGUCUAAACAUAACGCUGUGGCUUGGAAACAACUGGUCUUCCUGACUGAGGACUCUGCGGUGGUGGUGACAGCCACCAGACAAGCCCUGUAAUCAGCAGAAUUUUCUUUUAACGCUAAAUUAAAAAUCAAUGUAAGGUCCUAAAUCAGUUUUACAAUGUGACUUUGCAUAUUGUUUAUUAAUCUUAGUCAAGCAGAACACGAUGAAUUUUUUCAGGCAUAAUUCUGUGGCACUAUCACCGAAAGAAAUAUUGGAAAGAUUAUUGAGUUAUAUGGUGACUCUGCAGUGUCAACAGCCAAAUUAAUCAUUUGGAUUGAAAAACUUAUUUUUCAGUUAAUUAACCAAAAUGCAUAUAUUGAGAGCUUUCUAUGUGCCCAAAAGGCAUAGGCCUUGUCCUCAACAAGAAAUUUAGCUAUGGACCCCAAACUGACAUGCAUGUAAUGAUUAGUGAACAAUUACGUAUGUGUCAGGUCCAGUAAUUCAGCCCAAAAAAGGGCUCGCACCUGAAAUUAUUUGGACCAUUUCAGUUGUACCGAUCCAUCCCAAAAUCCCCAUCUGGGCAUCUCACAGGUUGCUCAAAGUCAACGUGACCAAAAACAGACUCAUGAUUUUCUCCCCUCAUCAGUCAUGAAGUCCUACUGGUUUUACUCCUCCUCUUCUCCCUUUCUAUUCCUGUGCCCAUUUCAUCAGCAGCCUGGACCGCGGCCAUACUAUAGGUAGUCUCCUAACUGGUCUCCUUCUCGCCAGCCUUGUUCCUUUCAAAUCCAUUAUCUACCUCAGCCUCCAGAGUGUUCUACCGAAAGUGCCUCUGGGAGCAGCCACUCUCCCCAAGGCUCACAGAAUGAAGUCCAAGGUCCUCGGCCUGCUGUACUAAGCCCUGCCACCAGUCAUCAUCUGUCAUUUCCUGGUAGGCACUUUAUGCACCAGCGACACAACUGCCCACUGUUCCCCAGGUAUGGGCUGGACCAGCUGCUUCUGGGAGGGCUGUCAUGACUUGAUACAGCCACAAGACACAACACGUCCAAGUCAGCCUGAGAGAGAGACUUUGGCAAGGCAACACGAGGAAGGUUGUUGAACAAGCUGUCCCGGUUUAAGCCACUUCCAAAUGAUAAAAAUAGGUACUCCGGGGAUUGCGUUAGGCUUUGACGGGAAUAUAUAAUACUUGUAAAGAAACUUUCAGGACUCAAGAGCACUGUGGGCUGUUCUUUUAGUUCAACAGGGUGAAACUUGAUAAUUAAACACAAUUCAGCAACCAUGUUGCCAUCUACACAGUCUAAAUUCAACCAGAGAUAAUACCCACCCACUUUGAGCACCUGGCCUAUUAGCAUGUAGAUGAUUCUCAUUGGACUCCAGAUUAAUAAAAUUCGCCAAAUAUCAAACACCAGUUGAUUUGCUUUGUUUCUAAAAAUUGCUCCCUGAAAUGCAAACUGGUGCAGCCACUAUGGAAAACAGUAUGGAGAUUUCUCAAAAAAUUAAAAAUAGAACUACCAUA
Equus caballus (horse) is the source of this 2511-nucleotide non-coding RNA. NCBI's taxonomy places the organism in Eukaryota, Metazoa, Chordata, Mammalia, Perissodactyla, Equidae. The record is from RefSeq and is a predicted model, not a curated record.